CAGCCUGUUCCCAAGGGCUGCGGCUGGUUGUAGCCAUAGGCUCUCCAGCUGCAUGCCAGAGCGACCUGGGGAGGCUUUGACAGCUCAGUGAGCAUAACACCUGCAGCUGCCACUCGCCCUUCCUGUACCC
Molecule: small nucleolar RNA, 130 nt
Organism: Pipistrellus kuhlii (Kuhl's pipistrelle)
Lineage: Eukaryota; Metazoa; Chordata; Mammalia; Chiroptera; Vespertilionidae
Product: small nucleolar RNA SNORA44
Exons: 1
Source: RefSeq, a predicted model, not a curated record